This 328-nucleotide ribosomal RNA is filed under the name uncultured eukaryote. Its description in RNAcentral is "partial 18S ribosomal RNA". It matches the Rfam family "Eukaryotic small subunit ribosomal RNA", at positions 1470 to 1796 of the family's 1831-position model. The record is from RNAcentral.
CCCUUAGAUGUCCUGGGCCGCACGCGCGUUACACUGAUGCAUUCAACGAGCUUAUAACCUUGGCCGAGCGGCCUGGGCAAUCUUGUUAACGUGCAUCGUGAUAGGGAUAGAUUAUUGAAAUUAUUAAUCUUGAACGAGGAAUUCCUAGUAAACGCAGAUCAUCAAUCUGCAUUGAUUACGUCCCUGCCCUUUGUACACACCGCCCGUCGCACCUACCGAUUGGAUGGUCCGGUGAAGCCUCGGGAUUGUGGUUCUUGCCGCUUUAUUGUGGCGUGACCGCGAGAACUUGUCUAAACCUUAUCAUCUAGAGGAAGGUGAAGUCGUAACA